RNAcentral lists this ribosomal RNA (253 nucleotides) under uncultured bacterium. RNAcentral's name for it is "partial 16S ribosomal RNA". It matches the Rfam family "Bacterial small subunit ribosomal RNA", at positions 524 to 776 of the family's 1533-position model. The record is from RNAcentral.
GACGAACCGUGCGAACGUUGUUCGGAAUCACUGGGCUUAAAGGGCGCGUAGGCGGGCUGUCAAGUCCGGGGUGAAAGCUUUCGGCUCAACCGGAAAAGUGCCUCGGAUACUGGCAGUCUUGAGGGAGGCAGGGGUAUGUGGAACUUCCGGUGGAGCGGUGAAAUGCGUUGAUAUCGGAAGGAACGCCGGUGGCGAAAGCGACGUACUGGUCCUCUUCUGACGCUGAGGCGCGAAAGCCAGGGGAGCGAACGGG